AUAUCAAUAAAUUUAAUUUAAAACAUUAUAGAGGAUAACAUGCUGUUUGGUCUGAUGGUAUAACUGUCGUAGGCCUAAUAUUGUAAGACGUUUGUAUUUGUCUUUGUAGAGCUUCCGCAAACAAAUCUUUAAGCCUUGAAUUUACACAAGAGAUACAUAGUUUACAUGCGAAAGUACCCUUAGAACGGGAAAGAUUGUACAUAAAUGAUCUCAGACUCAAUUUUUUGAACAUUGAAAAUAAUUUUGGAUAUAUAAAAAUGCUGAAAACCCCCUUUGACAUGCAUGUUUUAACGUUUAAACGUGUUUGAACAAAAUAGAAAACAGAUGUUACUUUCAAUAUGUAAUUUUCAAACAUUAAAGUGAAUUAACUUUUAUCGGUAAUCCAGAAAUAACACCCAAUUGGGAUCACAUUUUUACGCGACAAAGAAUCUGAUUGGGUAUGAAUACUUCAAUAUUAUAUUUCGAUUUAACAAAGAGGAAUAUUCAUGAAUAUAUUGUUUAAAUGUCGAUAGAAACCACAUCUUAAUGGAGCACGAGUUGUAAAUCAGUUAACAACUUAUUUUUUACAGGUUGAAACUACGAAUCGAAGAUGGCCGAAGGGAUCUCGCUAAAGGGUAUUGAUAAUUUUGGAAAUACAAUUGAGACAUGUCACAAAAAUAGCAACAAGGAAGAUGCCACAUUGGGUACAACUUCUGUAAAUGUUUGUGGCACCGAUGCAUCUAGUAACCAAGAAUUACAGGCUACACUGACAGCUCAACCUGGUCAGCAUUUGAAACGUAAUAAAUACCCAUAUCUGAUUGCAACAUUUGCCGUUUCAACUUGUAUAGCCUCCAUUGUGUGCGCCAGUAUAGUUAUAUAUGCAGUGUUAAAUUCAGGAGAUACUGUAAGCACUCGAGCAGAAGGCAGUGUGCCUACAUCAAUUUCAGGUGACCAUCCUGUCAAUCGCAGCACCGUACAGUGCGUCAGUAUCACUGAAUUACGAUUGAAAGCUAAGGACAAGAUGAAAAGUCGUUACCUUGACAAUAACAGAGAAUUUUCAACUGAAUUUCAACCGGUGGGCUGUCUUCAUAUUCCGCAAGGUAACUGCAGUGGAGUCUUGCCCUACGCAAAAACAUUCAUUCCCAACAAAUACGUUGAUUCAUUUGAAACAGCUAAAAAUUACCUAGAAGAAAUCAGUGGUCUACAAGAUUGCGAUACGCAUGCUCUGUAUGUAGUAUGUUCUUGGCUAUAUCCACCUUGCAUUACUGACACACUUCAAGUAGUGCCCUGUAAAGGUGUUUGCGAGGGUGUGGUUAAUGGUUGCCAAGAAAUCUUUAAUACGACAGCCAUUGGAUCGGAGCUUUCUUGUGACUAUUCUCCUGUAGGUGAAGCUAAUGAAAUGGAUUGCCGACAAAGCUGCUCAUAUAACAUUUACUUAAACGUUGGUGAAGUGUUUCAAUUCACAUCUCCAAACUAUCCACUGGCUUUUCCUUCUAACACCUAUUGUGUCUGGCUGAUAACAUCUCCACGGUCUACCAGAAUCAAAUUCAAAUUUACAAAUGUCGAUCUCGCCGAGGAUUUUGAUCAUCUUCAACUUAGCUCCAAACAUAAUCCUUAUGAAUAUUACAAACGUGAAGUGACGAAUGAUAUCGAAGUUUUUACAGUCCUAAAUUGGGCUUCUGUGAUUUUCAAAAGCCACAAUAUAGUCAACAUGAAGAGAGGAUUCUCUGCAGAGGUUACAGCUAUCGAUAAGAAAGAUGCUUUAUCCUGUACCGGAAAUUGGUGGGAUAAACUUACAUUUAUUACAAGUUUAAACGAAGAUGAACUAUGUGAUGGUCAAGAAAAUUGUGAAAAAUAUAAAGAUGAUGAGUAUUUAUGCCGAUCAGAAUGUGGAUAUGAUGUCUUGUUGACAGAUGAAAAUAGUGUCGAAGUCUUAUCAUCUAUGAAUCACUCCAAGGCAAUUGAACAGUGUAUAUACACAUUCACAAGUCCAACACGUACUAAAUUAAAGAUGGAAUUUCUGAGUUUGAAAGGCGCCGUGAGCGGUUGCAACUUUAAAAUGGGUGCAGGAACAAAUCCAUUCAAUACAACUAGCGAAUUUACAUCAUUGCCUCUGAUAUCUACUGGAAUUGAUCUCCCCGGAAACAUGGCUUGGAUAUGGUUCGCACAAACUCCAGAGAACUCUAGCUUUGUGGUUCGCUUGAGUUCAUUCAUUGAGAGUAAAAUCAUUAACAUUGCGGCUAAUGAUUCAUAUAUCAUAGACAAUAAUUCGCAUUCGAUCAACUCUUGGCUUGAAUACGGUUGUUUAGUUUUCAAGUCUUCGUCUGGUUAUCAUUUCAAGUUGACGUUUUUGAAUGAUAUCUUGGACUUAAGAAAGACGUCUGAAUUCUAUGACCCAGGAUAUAACAAGAUAGCUUUUGGUUUAGGAUCGGACUCAUUGAAGUACAAUGUAUUCACAUUAGAGUCUGAUUACGACGACAUGUUGGAGUUGUACACGGAUGCUAUUUGGUUGAAAAUGGACGGAUAUGGGCCGUAUGCUAUUGGAAUCACUAUUUCAACUAUACUUACAAGAGAAGAUUAUAGGACACACAUACUUGUUAAGGAUGUUGCAACAAUAACAUAUCCAUCGUCAGAGAUUGGCAAUGUUGAAGAAAGCAGUAAUGUUUCUACCACAGUAUGGAUAGUCACAUCUAUAAGAUACCCGAAUAUUGCAGUGAAAUUUAUCAACUUCUCUUAUGGAACAUCUGAAUUUAACUUUAUUACUAUUGGACACGGUGUUAAUACUGAAUUGUCGUCCUCAAUCCUUUUCCAAGGUCUUGCUUUAGAUUUCCAAAGAACGCUUCCCCAUGAUUUAAUUAUUCAUUAUUCAACAUUCUGGGUUCGACAUACCUCAUACCGACGAAUAAAUGAUACACGUUUUUCUAUGGAGCUUCGAGGCCUACCAGAUAGAGACAAUAUAAUAUGCCCCACGAAAACUGUGCAAGAUAUCUGUGAUGAUGAGUUUGAUUGUCCAGAUCUUAGAGACGAAAUAGGCUGUGUUGAUCCAGGUAUCUCUUGCGGCCAGAGACCUCUUCACCCAGACGUACGUACCAAACGAGUAAUUGGUGGAACGGAACCGCUUCCUGGUAGCUGGCCCUGGCAAGGUCUCAUCUUCUAUGGGGAUUCGCCUAAGUGUGGCUGUACCCUCAUCAAUGAAUUAUAUGUAAUUUCAGCAUCUCAUUGCUUUUCAGGAUCUAAUAACAUACUGGAUGAUAUUAGAGUUAUGUUUGGAAGUAAUAAACGUCUGAAUUUCUCGGCCAAUCAUUUCAUCGUAGCAGUAUCCUUAGUUUACCUUCUUCCAGGAGAUAUACCGUAUGAACAUAAUGAUGAAACCGACUUUGUGCUGAUGAAGCUGUCUAGGCCAGUACCAUUUACAAAUUACAUUCGUCCGGCAUGCAUUUCCAGCAGUUACAACCAAUUCACAGAAAAUGAUGUGUGCUAUGUUACCGGAUUUGGUGUUCAGGGUAGUAUCAGGUGGACCCAUUGUCGCGAUGCAUGAGGUUCCAGUGGACCUUUUUAGCAGCGAAAAGUGCAACGAAUUUCAAGGAACAGCUAUGAGAAUGACAGAAAACGAAAUAUGUGCUGGAAGACGUGAGGGCGGCAUGGAUACUUGCCAAGGUGAUAGUGGUGGUCCACUCGUUUGCCUAGGAGAAGAUGAGAAAUGGUAUCUUUUUGGGAUAACGAGCUAUGGACAGGGUUGUGCCGAAAGAUUUCGACCUGGCGUGUAUCAUCGUGUUUUUCCGUAUUUGGAUUUCA
RNAcentral lists this unclassified non-coding RNA (3774 nucleotides) under Anneissia japonica. RNAcentral describes it as "uncharacterized LOC117106882, transcript variant X3". Lineage: Eukaryota; Metazoa; Echinodermata; Crinoidea; Comatulida; Comatulidae. The record is from RNAcentral.